Molecule: ribosomal RNA, 461 nt
Filed under: uncultured bacterium
Lineage: Bacteria
Description: partial 16S ribosomal RNA
Rfam family: Bacterial small subunit ribosomal RNA
Source: RNAcentral
CCUACGGGAGGCAGCAGUGAGGAAUAUUGGUCAAUGGGCGGGAGCCUGAACCAGCCAAGUCGCGUGAGGGAAGACGGUCCUACGGAUUGUAAACCUCUUUUGCCGGGGAGCAACGGGGUCCUUGCGAGGGCCCGAUGAGAGUACCCGGAGAAAAAGCAUCGGCUAACUCCGUGCCAGCAGCCGCGGUAAUACGGAGGAUGCGAGCGUUAUCCGGAUUUAUUGGGUUUAAAGGGAGCGUAGAUGGGUUGUUAAGUCAGUUGUGAAAGUUUGCGGCUCAACCGUAAAAUUGCAAUUGAUACUGGCAGUCUUGAGUACAGUUGAGGUAGGCGGAAUUCGUGGUGUAGCGGUGAAAUGCUUAGAUAUCACGAAGAACCCCGAUUGCGAAGGCAGCUUACUAAACUGUGACUGACAUUGAUGCUCGAAAGUGUGGGUAUCAAACAGGAUUAGAUACCCUAGUAGUC